RNAcentral lists this ribosomal RNA (118 nucleotides) under Lepisosteus oculatus (spotted gar). The record is from RNAcentral. Lineage: Eukaryota; Metazoa; Chordata; Actinopteri; Semionotiformes; Lepisosteidae.
GCCAGCAGCUAUAUCACCCUGCAACUCACAAUUGACAACUCACCGAAGCUCAGCGGGUGUGAGCCUGGCAAGUACCUGGCUGGGAGACCUCCUGGGAAAGCUAAGGUGGCUGCUGGAA